CGAAAGCUCAUUUACUUUCCUAACUAACUCAAUUUCACAUUAUUUUCACAGCAAAAUGGCGCAGAAGGUGGUCUUGAAAGUUCUAACCAUGACCGAUGACAAAACCAAGCAAAAAUCCAUAGAAGCUACUGCAGAUAUCUUUGGUAUUUUGUCAAACACCUAGCAUACAAUAAUAUCUUUUUAAAACAAACAUCAGAUCUCGGUUGCGUGUGAUUAUCCUUUUAUGGGAUACUGUUACAAAUCAGGGCAAUUACAGGCUCCUUUUGUUUUGUGUGGGUGGUCGGGUUGAUUCGAUAGCGGCGGAUCUAAAGGAUCAAAGCUGAGGGUGAUAGGGGAGAUGGAUGCAGUGUGGUGAAGAAGCUGAAGAAAGUAGGCAAAGUGGAUAUAAUAUCAAUCAGACCUGCUAAAGAAGAGAAGGAAGAGAGGAGGAGGAAAAGAGGAAAAGGAGAA
Long non-coding RNA from Hibiscus syriacus, 450 nucleotides. RefSeq lists it as uncharacterized. The transcript has 2 exons. The record is from RefSeq and is a predicted model, not a curated record. Lineage: Eukaryota; Viridiplantae; Streptophyta; Magnoliopsida; Malvales; Malvaceae.